UACAGAGGGGGCAAGCGUUGUUCGGAAUUACUGGGCGUAAAGGGCGCGUAGGCGGCCUUCUAAGUCGAACGUGAAAUCCCUGGGCUCAACCCAGGAACUGCGUCCGAUACUGGAAGGCUUGAAUCCGGGAGAGGGAUGCGGAAUUCCAGGUGUAGCGGUGAAAUGCGUAGAUAUCUGGAGGAACACCGGUGGCGAAGGCGGCAUCCUGGACCGGUAUUGACGCUGAGGCGCGAAAGCUAGGGGAGCAAACGGG
This 253-nucleotide ribosomal RNA is filed under the name uncultured bacterium. RNAcentral describes it as "partial 16S ribosomal RNA". It matches the Rfam family "Bacterial small subunit ribosomal RNA", at positions 524 to 776 of the family's 1533-position model. The record is from RNAcentral.